GUAUGGAUUCUUGAGAUUUAUUCUGACAGUGGUAAAUGUUUUCACAUCAUAUAAUUUUACAGUAUGAUCAAAAAUUCUCCAGAAAGUAAUUAGCUGAAUAAAAUGCAACAUCAUGCAAAUGUAGUCCUUUUAAAAUAUUGCUCUGACAAUCAGCAUUAAUAAAGCCAAAAUAAAAAACUUAAUCAGAUCAAGAAGAUGAAGUUACAUUUCUGGAAAAGGGCACACAUGAAAGUGCAGGUGCUGAGGCUGGGGAGGGGUCACCAUCCCAGCCCGGGGCCCCCAAUCUGGCUGCCCCCCGCCCAUAAGCCCAGCACCCUCCUGGUUGAAGGUUGGAGUCUUCAUUUGUUCAAUGAGAGUAGCCAAGUACAGCUCCUGAGACUCAGCCUGCUGGGUAGUCUUCGGAUAAGAAACUAAUGCAGUAUUUCCAAAAUUGGCAUCUUACAGAAUGCUGUUCCACGGGAUGUUGCUUGAUGAAUUC
Molecule: long non-coding RNA, 478 nt
Filed under: Bos taurus (domestic cattle)
Lineage: Eukaryota; Metazoa; Chordata; Mammalia; Artiodactyla; Bovidae
Description: long non-coding RNA NONBTAT001181
Source: RNAcentral